This is a long non-coding RNA of Microtus oregoni (creeping vole), 1739 nucleotides long. RefSeq lists it as uncharacterized. The transcript has 5 exons. NCBI's taxonomy places the organism in Eukaryota, Metazoa, Chordata, Mammalia, Rodentia, Cricetidae. The record is from RefSeq and is a predicted model, not a curated record.
AUCACAGAAUACUGGGACCGGGAACACAGGCUUCCUCUCGGUGAUGAGAGGCUCAGCCUCCUAGGUGCCUUGUGUACCCUUAGGGAUGGGGGAUCCACUACUCAGCAACAGUUCAAGGACGUUCCAGGUCCCAAGCUCACCCUUUGAGAUGCUAAGGUACCUGGCUUUCCUAUUGCAGUCACAGAGUCUUAAGGGCCGGAAGGCGCAGCGGGGAACACAGGGGCCUGGCUGCCCAGGACGAGGUGCCUGCACUAGGCGCCCCCGAGAUCUGGGCGGGGCAGCGGUAUCCAGGGAGCGCUGGCUGCGGUAGGAACGCUCACAGCCUCCGGGAGUUCGCGGCCCAGUGUGCUCCAGCCCCAGAGCCAGCGCGGCGAACUCAGUGAGAUGCGGUGUAUUGAGAAGAUCCUAAAGGCCACGAGGUGCUUGGCACAUCCCAAGACGCGGCUCAGCGCCAUCCUACUGUCACAUUCCACUUGUUUUUCUCGCCUUCAAUGGUCCGGAGCCACAAGCAGGUGUGGGAUACAGUACCUCUGCUCCAAGUGGCUUGGACCCCCUCGCGGCCGAUUCGGACGAAGGAACCGCGGCUUGAGAGGGCCAGGACCCAGGGCAUCUGCAAGCCAGAAAAAGGCGUGCUGCACACCGCCCCCACGACCCGGCAGGAAGCCUGCUUGAUUUUCCAUAAGCAUCAAGAGACUGAAAAUCCGCAGUGUUCUAAAGGACAUGGCUCUUGGGGCAGUCAUUUACAAACAGAAUACUACUCCUGGAGGCCCCUCUGCUCUCAUUCUCAGAUUCCAGGAAGCCUACAAGAUGAAUGACUGCUCCCCUCGUUGGGAAGAUGUGCGGACCACAGGUCUGUUAUAAUCGUUUGGAAACAGGUCCUUCCUGAGAUUGCUUUGGAAUUGGAAGUGGAACAUUGAGGGAAAUAGGCUCCAGUUGACUGUAUGCAUGGCCACAGUCCAGCAAGCUCGCCUUCCUGUGGGGAGUCUACAAAGUGGCUGUCCUGGUAUUAUAUUGCAGAAGGUUCAUGCCGAGUAGGCAUGCCUAACGCCAUUAGGAAGUGACUCGCUCUUCUGUGCAUCAGCUGUGGAAAAAGACCCUCACCUGCUGUCCAAGCAUGGUCACAGUUCUCCUUUGUCUUCUCCAUGAUCCAGAGUGGUACCCAGCUGACCUUACUUCUCAUCCCUUUUAGGAUGAAGGUGUCAGUCUAGGCGGUCCAGAUCCACCCCCACUGCUCUCCACCUAGUGGUCUCCCCAGUCCAUCUGACUAGCUCCUGUCUCUCAGUAAGACCUCCACUGUCUCUUCUUCAUACCUAGCAGGUUAGCUCUUUUCAUCCAAGCAACUAGGUAACAUAGUCGAGACCUGGACCAACUACGUCAACUGCUCUUUGCACAAGAACACGUGGAAGCUGGAAACAGGAUUCCACCUGCAGCCAUUCUCUCUUCCCCAAGACUCUGGCCAAUGGGACUGCGGCCUGCAGCAGUUCUUCACCAGCUUGGCAUCUAGUGUGGAAAAACUGGCUUUAUUAAAAUUAUAUAGACCUGUCAUCAUUUUACACACAUGUCUGUGGUUUCACUUUCUGUGUUUUGUUAGCUACAGUAAGUUGUAGACCAGAAAUAUCAAAUGGAAGAUUCCAGAAAUAAAAACACAUGCCAUCCUAUACUGUACUGUCCUCCUUAGGGUUCAGCCCUCCGUCCAGUGUAUCGAAGCUGUAUACACUACUCUCCAGCAGCCACUUAGC